RNAcentral lists this small RNA (197 nucleotides) under Frankia canadensis. Its description in RNAcentral is "ydaO-yuaA". The stretch from base 41 to 197 matches the Rfam family "c-di-AMP riboswitch aptamer (ydaO/yuaA leader)". Rfam says of the family: This family represents a conserved RNA structure found upstream of the ydaO and yuaA genes in Bacillus subtilis and related genes in other bacteria. The record is from RNAcentral. Lineage: Bacteria; Bacillati; Actinomycetota; Actinomycetes; Frankiales; Frankiaceae.
UCGGACCGCACGCCGAGUCCUGUCCCCGGUCCGGUGCCCCCUCCACGCGCGGCCGGGACAGGAGCGGGGGAACCACGUUCCUCCGGGCGUCCUGCCUCGGCAGGCGUCCUUGGGGUGAAGCCAGCUGCCUUGAUGUGCUGGCCGGGCUCCCCGCCCGAACCCGACAGCUCACCUCGUAGGCGCCCGGGAAAGGGCUC